GGGUUGUGAGGUUAAGCGACUAAGCGUACACGGUGGAUGCCCUGGCAGUCAGAGGCGAUGAAGGACGUGCUAAUCUGCGAUAAGCGCCGGUAAGGUGAUAUGAACCGUUAUAACCGGCGAUUUCCGAAUGGGGAAACCCAGUGUGACUCGUCACACUAUCAUUAACUGAAUCCAUAGGUUAAUGAGGCGAACCGGGGGAACUGAAACAUCUAAGUACCCCGAGGAAAAGAAAUCAACCGAGAUUCCCCCAGUAGCGGCGAGCGAACGGGGAGGAGCCCAGAGCCUGAAUCAGCAUGUGUGUUAGUGGAAGCGUCUGGAAAGGCGCGCGAUACAGGGUGACAGCCCCGUACACAAAAGCGCAUGUGCUGUGAGCUCGAUGAGUAGGGCGGGACACGUGGUAUCCUGUCUGAAUAUGGGGGGACCAUCCUCCAAGGCUAAAUACUCCUGACUGACCGAUAGUGAACCAGUACCGUGAGGGAAAGGCGAAAAGAACCCCGGCGAGGGGAGUGAAAAAGAACCUGAAACCGUGUACGUACAAGCAGUGGGAGCACCCUUUGGGGUGUGACUGCGUACCUUUUGUAUAAUGGGUCAGCG
RNAcentral lists this ribosomal RNA (594 nucleotides) under Salmonella enterica subsp. enterica serovar Oranienburg. RNAcentral's name for it is "partial 23S ribosomal RNA". It matches the Rfam family "Bacterial large subunit ribosomal RNA", at positions 1 to 625 of the family's 2925-position model. Lineage: Bacteria; Pseudomonadati; Pseudomonadota; Gammaproteobacteria; Enterobacterales; Enterobacteriaceae. The record is from RNAcentral. RNAcentral also lists the same sequence under 1 other name.